Equus caballus (horse) is the source of this 4140-nucleotide long non-coding RNA. The record is from Ensembl. Lineage: Eukaryota; Metazoa; Chordata; Mammalia; Perissodactyla; Equidae.
AAGGAAUUGGCUCACACAAUUACGGAAGCUAAGAAGUCCCAUGAUCUGCCAUUUGCAAGCUGGAGGUCCAGGACAGCUGGUGGCGGUGCAGUUCUGAGAACCGGAGGCCAGUGGCAUAUGUCCCAGUCAAGGGCAAGAGAAGACUGAUGUUCUAGCUCAAGCAGUCAUGCAGAGAGAGCGAAUUCCCCCUUCCUCUGUUUUUUUCUUCUAUUCAGGACCUCAGCGGAUUUGAUGAUGCCCACCCACAUUGGAGGCCAAUCUGCUUUCAUCAGUCCACUGACUCAAAUGCUAAUUUCAUCCAAAACCCCCCUCAUAAACACACCCAGAAAUAACGUUUAAUCUGGGCCUUCUGUACCCCAGUCAGGUUGACACAGGAAAUUAAUCAUCACACUUCAAAAGAACUCAAGGGACUUGAAAUCAGGGCCUGCAGCCUAUUCCCCUUUAUCCACAUGUCUCUGGUAGGGCUCCUUCCAGACCAUGCUGUGACUCCUUAUGUGGCAAGAGAAAUUAAUAUCAUUUCCCUUUCCUUUGCCUAACAUCUCUGCACUUACUUCUUUCUACAAUUCUGUCCUCAAUUCGUUGCAUUUCAUGAUCCCAUAUAAAAAAGUCAUAUUUAAAAUUGACUUAGUGUGUCUGGAUUUUCCUGGCCUUCAGUCAGAGAAGUAAUCUGUUUCAGGUGGCUGGCAAAUUUGUAUUAUCACGUAGAGUUAUCCUUUUCUGGGAUGAGGAAGGCUCUGUUUUCUGGCACUGAGACUUAUAUCAGACACAGGUUUAACUUCCAGCCUUGUCAUACCCACAGAGCUUAGCAGCAUAAAUCUAAGAGAUGCGACAGAGUCCAUGGUGAAGAUUUAGCACAUAGAAUUUAAAAGUAGCUCGAAUCUAAAUGAGAAGAAUGAAGCUAGGAAUUACUUAGGAAAGGAGAUAGGAAAAGGGAUGAGAAACUGUGAGGCCUUGUUACCUCUGUAGUGUUAUCCUCUCCAUGAUGUAUGUGAAAUAUUUUAUAUCCAGAUUGUGGUUUUGCAUUGUCAGAUUUGAAUUUAUACUCUUGCUAGUUAAUGUGUUGAUAGCUAGGUCCAAAUCUUGAUGUGCUGUCCAGACACAUAUGUACUCAAAAAGAUUUGGAGGGGAAAGAGGCACCCGAGGGAGAAAUGUGAUUUUAAUGCUGUGGAAAGAAUACUUGCAAGUGUACAAGACAGUAUAACAAAAAGCACUGUAUGGAAGUGGAGUCAAAAAUGAAUAAACGAAUGUGCAUGUGACUGAACGGGGAGGCCACUGGGGGCUCGAAAGAAGGCUACAUAAAAGAGGUAAUGGAGAAUGCUCCAGAAGGGAUGGGGGAAGGUCAGGGCAAGCAAGGUAGAAACAGGUGUGCUGCAGAGAAUACAUUCUGAAGCAUGAAAGCAAAUCUCUCUGAAGAGAGAUCUGAGAGAAGGCAGAAAAAGUAAGUGUCUUGAAGAUAAAAGAUAAAUAUGUAUGGAGAAAGAAGGCAUUCUAGGUAAUAGAGGUUAUAAAAAUAUUUAUUAAAAAAUGAAAAGUCAGGUGCAGUGUAUGAAAUGGAAAGGAGCUUUUCAGGGUUUAAAGAACAGGGACGUCCAUGAUGAACAUAAAAACACACCAGCAACCAUCAGGGAAUGACCUUUUCAUUUCAGAGGGAGUGAGGGUCGGCGGCAGUUUGAGCACCUGUGGAUUCUAGAUAGGCCACUUCAAGUGCUGGGGUUUAAUGCUGGUCAGAAGAAAGCAACUCUUUGCCUGAACUGCUUUUGGAAACUCCAAAGAGCUGCUUUGGAAAUAAAGACCUAGAGAUGGGGAAUUUAUGGUAGUUCACGGAUCUCUGUGUUUCUGUCUUUUGCUUCUGUUAAUGAAAUCCAUUUAAAAUAAUGCUCAUCGUUGCUGUGCCCAGAAAGGCCACAGGGAAACUGAAACAAUAGGCUUAAGUUAGACUAGACUAAACCUUGUUUGAUAUCUGCACAAAGAGGUAUGUGCCAUGUUGGAACCAUGUGUUUUUCUAGUCUCAUCCAGGCUUCCCACAAGAAAGCCAUGAUGUGGGGCUAAGCCAUGUGUUUUGAGUAAAAGGAGACAAGAAGGGGAGUGUCUGAGAGAGGGAAAGAGAUGAAGAUGUUCCAAGGAAAUAUUCUAAAACAGAACCGCAUCUGUUUUGCCCAAAACUACAAAAAAUGAAGAAAAUUACAGUUAAUACUUAGAUUACCCCCAAUAUAUGGCUAUUAAGUCUUUGAUCCUAAAUUGAAUUUAUAGAACUGCCACCUUUGUCUUUUUAGUAAGAACUCUGACCUCUGGCAGUGCAUAUGGUAGGUCCCUAAAUGUUUCUGGAAGUUGCAGACCUCGAUCUACACUAGGAAAUCCUUCCGAAUUGAAAUUUAACAUUUUUAUAGAGGCAGAUUAAUGUCUUUUCCACUUGGUAAAUGUCUUGGAAUGCUGAAUUGUUAGGGAAAGAGACUGGAAUGGUGAUUCGAUUUCUGGCAUUUGAGUUCUCUGCUACAAUUAGCUGCAUUGCUUGGCGGCAGACAUGUGGUGGCUAAUUGUUUAGUGGCUGUAUCCUUUUUUUUAAACUUGUUAUUUAGAAACAGUUUAAGACUCACAGGAAGUUGCAAAAACAGUACAGAAUGGACUUACCCUAGCACAGAGCUUUCCCCAUUGAUAUCUUAUAUAACCAGUGUCCGUUUUCAAAAACAGAAAAUUGACAUUGGUCUAAUACUAUUAACUAAACUACAGCCCUUACUCAGAUUUCACCAGUUGUUCACACGUAUUUAUUUCAUUUCUGAAUACUUUGAACCCAUGCUGAUUUGUAACCCGUUCUUACUUGGACGCAGUGGGAAAGACACUAUCUGGAUACAAUACUACAAAAUUCUAAAGAGAAUAUAACAAAUUAAUCUGUUCUUUUAUCAACAUACAAUAUCCUGCCUAGAGUGCAUCCACAUUUCCUGACUAGUUUGGCUGCUUAGCAUCUAGAACAAGCCAACAGCAGCUUAGAAGUGUUCAGCAACACAAAAGAUAGUAAGACCUGCCCAUAGCUUGCUGGCUAGAGAAUCAGGUAUAGAAGGAUAUUCUAGAUGAUUCCUGGAGUCCCUAUAAAUAAGUAGGAUUUGUAAUGAUGGCAAGGAGAGGACUUUAGGGAAAACUAGUAUUUUGGUCAACAGCUAGGUGGCACUUAGUUAAUGGCAGCAGAGAUAGUUUGUGGAAGGAAUAGAGUAUCAUGGUAUAGACCCCUAAUGUGUGAUAAAACACUAUUUUCAGAAUAGUAGAGAAAUUUCAUUUGCCUAAAUGUCUGUUCUUAAAUGGAAUAACAACCACAUGGGACCAAAUUCAAUGCAAACAUAGCAGCAACCUGGGGGGAAGUAGAAAGUCUGGUUUCUUGAAUCAUGAUUUAGAGUUUUGUGAUGGCAUUUUUAAGCUGCCCUACUUAAGGGUCAUAAGAUUAUAACUGUGUUCACACUGCAUACCCCAUAUCCUAGCACAGAGUGAGCACUCAAUAAAUAUUUGCUGAAUGUUUAUUUUUGAAUGAGGAAAGAGAAAAGGUGUCCAGGCUUGUACCUGGGAAGUACAUCCUUCAUUCAUAUAUUUUCUGACGGUGAAAUUGAGCUAUGGAAAUACCUUAUUCUUUGGGGUAUGUGGACAGCAAUGCGAGGCAGUUUUCUAAAGGCUACCCCAUCAAGAAUAGGCACCAGACUCUGGCCUCAAACCCAGCCCAUUUGAAAUAAGCUUUUUAGUUUCUCCUCCGGACACCUUAUCAACAAGUUCACAGGCCUCUAGAGGAGGAGGAUCGGAGUCCCAGACCAUCCUAUGCUUACCCACAUCCACAACUGCAUGUAAAGGAAGAAUUUGCAGAGAGACUCAAGGGAAAGCACAAUGGGAUAAAGCAAUCACUUUGAAUAAAAAAUUGUUCUCUUGAAAAGAGGCUUAGAAAUAAUUGAAAGUUGGGAGAAUUCCUGCAAACACACCAACAGUUUGUAAUCUAGCCUAUUCAUUUUAUGUCCUUUGCUAUUCAUUGAUAUUGCUAUUCUUCUGCCCUGUUGUCUGGUAACUUUCUGAGGACUGGAUUUCUGAAGCAAUGUGAUGCAUUCUUCCCAUGAGGAGGAAACAUCUGGGCCUCAUUCUGCAGGCUUGGGAGGAUGAUGUGUCUUGUCA